This 253-nucleotide ribosomal RNA is filed under the name uncultured bacterium. Its description in RNAcentral is "partial 16S ribosomal RNA". It matches the Rfam family "Bacterial small subunit ribosomal RNA", at positions 524 to 776 of the family's 1533-position model. The record is from RNAcentral.
UACGUAGGGUGCAAGCGUUGUCCGGAAUUAUUGGGCGUAAAGAGUUCGUAGGCGGUUUGUCGCGUCCGUUGUGAAAGCUUGGGGCUCAACCCCAAGUCUGCAGUGGGUACGGGCAGGCUAGAGUGUGGUAGGGGAGACUGGAAUUCCUGGUGUAGCGGUGGAAUGCGCAGAUAUCAGGAGGAACACCGAUGGCGAAGGCAGGUCUCUGGGCCACUACUGACGCUGAGAAGCGAAAGCAUGGGGAGCGAACAGG